RNAcentral lists this unclassified non-coding RNA (230 nucleotides) under plant metagenome. RNAcentral's name for it is "partial contains small subunit ribosomal RNA, internal transcribed spacer 1, and 5.8S ribosomal RNA". The record is from RNAcentral.
UCUCCGUAGGUGAACCUGCGGAGGGAUCAUUACAGAGUUCUCCGCCUCGCAGGUAGAUCUCCCACCCACCGUUGUCGUUACUGUCGUUUCUUUGGCGGGCCGCCGGGUCCCCGGCCGCCGGCGUCUAAUACGCGGCGCGCGCCCACCAGAGGCCUUCGAAGCCUGAAUGUUACUGUCGUCUGAAUACUAUAAAAUAGUUAAAACUUUUAACAACGGAUCUCUUGGUUCUG